UACGAAGGAGGCUAGCGUUGCUCGGAAUCACUGGGCGUAAAGCGCACGUAGGCGGAUCUUUAAGUCAGGGGUGAAAUCCUGGAGCUCAACUCCAGAACUGCCUUUGAUACUGGGGAUCUCGAGUCCGGGAGAGGUGAGUGGAACUCCGAGUGUAGAGGUGAAAUUCGUAGAUAUUCGGAAGAACACCAGUGGCGAAGGCGGCUCACUGGCCCGGUACUGACGCUGAGGUGCGAAAGCGUGGGGAGCAAACAGG
This 253-nucleotide ribosomal RNA is filed under the name uncultured bacterium. Its description in RNAcentral is "partial 16S ribosomal RNA". It matches the Rfam family "Bacterial small subunit ribosomal RNA", at positions 524 to 776 of the family's 1533-position model. The record is from RNAcentral.